Otolemur garnettii (small-eared galago) is the source of this 107-nucleotide small nuclear RNA. Lineage: Eukaryota; Metazoa; Chordata; Mammalia; Primates; Galagidae. The record is from Ensembl.
GUGCUCACUUUGGCAGCACAUAUACUAAAAUUGGAACAAAACAGAGAACAUUAGCACGGCCCCUGCACAAGGAUAACACGUAAAUUCGUGAAGCGUUCCAUGUUUUU